This 82-nucleotide transfer RNA is filed under the name Luminiphilus syltensis NOR5-1B. RNAcentral's name for it is "gamma proteobacterium NOR51-B tRNA". It matches the Rfam family "tRNA". From Rfam's summary of the family: Transfer RNA (tRNA) molecules are approximately 80 nucleotides in length. Their secondary structure includes four short double-helical elements and three loops (D, anti-codon, and T loops). RNAcentral also lists the same sequence under 1 other name. The record is from Rfam by way of RNAcentral. Lineage: Bacteria; Pseudomonadati; Pseudomonadota; Gammaproteobacteria; Cellvibrionales; Halieaceae.
GCGGAAGUGGCGAAAUUGGUAGACGCGCUGGAUUUAGGUUCCAGUGCCGCAAGGCGUGAGAGUUCGAGUCUCUCCUUCCGCA